This 253-nucleotide ribosomal RNA is filed under the name uncultured bacterium. RNAcentral describes it as "partial 16S ribosomal RNA". It matches the Rfam family "Bacterial small subunit ribosomal RNA", at positions 524 to 776 of the family's 1533-position model. The record is from RNAcentral.
UACGUAGGGCGCAAGCGUUGUCCGGAAUCAUUGGGCGUAAAGAGCUCGUAGGUGGUCUGUUACGUCUGCUGUGAAAUCCUAGGGCUUAACCCUGGGCCUGCAGUGGAUACGGGCAGACUAGAGGUAGGUAGGGGAGAAUGGAAUUCCCGGUGUAGCGGUGAAAUGCGCAGAUAUCGGGAGGAACACCGAUGGCGAAGGCAGGUCUCUGGGCCAUAACUGACGCUGAGAAGCGAAAGCAUGGGGAGCGAACAGG